AGACAUAGCCAUCUCACGAAGAUGACUCUCUUACAUCGGACACAAGGAUAAUAGCGCUAUAAAAGAAAUCCGAAAUUUUGGUCCAGCACUUCCGGUCUCCGGAGAGAUGCUCGAUUCGUAUCAAACAAGUCGUAUAAGCCGAGAACCUAUCGCGGACUUUAAAUCGAUACGAAUCAGGAAGAAAUCGCAACAGGAAAAACGAUAGCCGGCUAGUCACUGCACAAUCCUUAAACCGAAAGUAAACCUAGGUCUUGCCCUAAACCCAGCGCACUGGUCUCUAACAUCUCAAGGCAUGAUAUCGAAAGAUAAGAGAUUCCUAAACCAUGCCUCUAUGUUUAUAUUUGACAUCUUCAGCGCCUCCGCAGAGCUCACGUCUCGCGGAAGAACUCUCGAAACAGAUCUCGAAUGAAACAUCUCACAAUCGAAGAAGGAUAUGAGACGACAACUCAUCACCUUCCUCCGCAAAGCCACACACGGCCAGUCCCGAAAUACAAAACAAGGCCAUUCAAGGCCGAAACAUAAAAACAUAAAAAAAUCUCUCGCAAGAGAUCUAACCCAAGUCAGCCUCAGAACUCACGCCCCCUCUUUACCCAACGCCUCAUCCGAGCCUGGAGCCGCAUCACCUCCGUUUUCUCCAACCGUCGGGUCUUUCCCCUCUGGGUCUUCUGAACACGUCGGAAGGAAGCAUACGGAUUUCAG
This 699-nucleotide long non-coding RNA is filed under the name Brassica rapa (field mustard). Its description in RNAcentral is "long non-coding RNA (BRAP_LNC005735)". The record is from RNAcentral. Lineage: Eukaryota; Viridiplantae; Streptophyta; Magnoliopsida; Brassicales; Brassicaceae.